AUUGAACGCUGGCGGCAGGCCUAACACAUGCAAGUCGAACGGUAACAGGAAGCAGCUUGCUGCUUCGCUGACGAGUGGCGGACGGGUGAGUAAUGUCUGGGAAGCUGCCUGAUGGAGGGGGAUAACUACUGGAAACGGUAGCUAAUACCGCAUAAUGUCGCAAGACCAAAGAGGGGGACCUUCGGGCCUCUUGCCAUCGGAUGUGCCCAGAUGGGAUUAGCUUGUUGGUGGGGUAACGGCUCACCAAGGCGACGAUCCCUAGCUGGUCUGAGAGGAUGACCAGCCACACUGGAACUGAGACACGGUCCAGACUCCUACGGGAGGCCGCAGUGGGGAAUAUUGCACAAUGGGCGCAAGCCUGAUGCAGCCAUGCCGCGUGUAUGAAGAAGGCCUUCGGGUUGUAAAGUACUUUCAGCGGGGAGGAAGGGAGUAAAGUUAAUACCUUUGCUCAUUGACGUUACCCGCAGAAGAAGCACCGGCUAACUCCGUG
RNAcentral lists this ribosomal RNA (490 nucleotides) under uncultured bacterium. Its description in RNAcentral is "partial 16S ribosomal RNA". It matches the Rfam family "Bacterial small subunit ribosomal RNA", at positions 30 to 507 of the family's 1533-position model. The record is from RNAcentral.